RNAcentral lists this long non-coding RNA (361 nucleotides) under Marmota marmota marmota (Alpine marmot). RNAcentral describes it as "lncRNA (ENSMMMG00000009112.1)". Lineage: Eukaryota; Metazoa; Chordata; Mammalia; Rodentia; Sciuridae. The record is from RNAcentral.
CGCGUUCUUUCAGCGAUCGGCCGCGUGUCUGGGAAGCAUGGCGCCACGGUUGGGCGCAGCACCGCUGAGCAGCCCUCUAGGCUUUGGGUGAUGAUAAGCCUUUCUCUAGCUUCUGGGGAGAUGAGAAGCAGAGCUGCAGGAUGCAGUUUAAAAGUAACGGAACCGCAAAAUGAGAAGAGAUGGAUGCAAGCAGGACCUGGGGGUGGUCACCAGAAAGCAGAGAUGGCGUGAUGUCCCGGCACAUCCACCUCAUAAGUUGUUCGAAGUUAAAUUGAACUAUCCAUGGUAUUGGCUGUGGACUUGUGAAACCCAUCAUCUUAAAAUAUUGACCUUAAGAAUUUUUGUGAUGAAAUUUCUAUAA